CCAGCAUGCCCUACCAUUCCUUCAAACAAGCAUUCACUGUAGCAGAAAGUCCAAGAAAAGGCUUACUCCCUUGAGGAUCAAGAAGAAAGAAACAGCGAAGAAAGGACCAAUAGCAGCACGGAGAAUACAGAAACCAGAUAAAGAGGAAAAUGAGGAGGUGGAGGUGGUUCAGAUCCCAGGAGGAAUUUUGCUAAAUUCCAAGAAGUCCCAG
RNAcentral lists this long non-coding RNA (211 nucleotides) under Struthio camelus australis. RNAcentral's name for it is "lncRNA (ENSSCUG00000010066.1)". Lineage: Eukaryota; Metazoa; Chordata; Aves; Struthioniformes; Struthionidae. The record is from RNAcentral.